Molecule: microRNA precursor, 94 nt
Filed under: Pelobates cultripes (western spadefoot toad)
Lineage: Eukaryota; Metazoa; Chordata; Amphibia; Anura; Pelobatidae
Source: RNAcentral
AGUUUAAAAAACCACAACGCGUUUCGCCCUUAGGCGUUAUCAAGUGGAGCCUAAGGGCGAAACGCAUUGUGGUUUUUGUAAACUAUAUUGUUUU